GAUUAAGUUAUUAAGGGCGCACGGUGGAUGCCUUGGCACUAGAAGCCGAUGAAGGACGUUACUAACGACGAUAUGCUUUGGGGAGCUGUAAGUAAGCUUUGAUCCAGAGAUUUCCGAAUGGGGAAACCCAGCAUGAGUUAUGUCAUGUUAUCGAUAUGUGAAUACAUAGCAUAUCAGAAGGCACACCCGGAGAACUGAAACAUCUUAGUACCCGGAGGAAGAGAAAGAAAAUUCGAUUCCCUUAGUAGCGGCGAGCGAAACGGGAAGAGCCCAAACCAACAAGCUUGCUUGUUGGGGUUGUAGGACACUCUAUACGGAGUUACAAAGGACGACAUUAGACGAAUCAUCUGGAAAGAUGAAUCAAAGAAGGUAAUAAUCCUGUAGUCGAAAAUGUUGUCUCUCUUGAGUGGAUCCUGAGUACGACGGAGCACGUGAAAUUCCGUCGGAAUCUGGGAGGACCAUCUCCUAAGGCUAAAUACUCUCUAGUGACCGAUAGUGAACCAGUACCGUGAGGGAAAGGUGAAAAGCACCCCGGAAGGGGAGUGAAAUAGAACCUGAAACCGUGUGCUUACAAGUAGUCAGAGCCCGUUAAUGGGUGAUGGCGUGCCUUUUGUAGAAUGAACCGGCGAGUUACGAUUUGAUGCAAGGUUAAGCAGUAAAUGUGGAGCCGUAGCGAAAGCGAGUCUGAAUAGGGCGUUUAGUAUUUGGUCGUAGACCCGAAACCAGGUGAUCUACCCUUGGUCAGGUUGAAGUUCAGGUAACACUGAAUGGAGGACCGAACCGACUUACGUUGAAAAGUGAGCGGAUGAACUGAGGGUAGCGGAGAAAUUCCAAUCGAACCUGGAGAUAGCUGGUUCUCUCCGAAAUAGCUUUAGGGCUAGCCUCAAGUGAUGAUUAUUGGAGGUAGAGCA
This 911-nucleotide ribosomal RNA is filed under the name Staphylococcus aureus. Its description in RNAcentral is "partial 23S ribosomal RNA". It matches the Rfam family "Bacterial large subunit ribosomal RNA", at positions 1 to 909 of the family's 2925-position model. Lineage: Bacteria; Bacillati; Bacillota; Bacilli; Caryophanales; Staphylococcaceae. The record is from RNAcentral.